GAAGCACAACCUGUGAAGUGUAGUACCGGGAGCACUUGUGCCUUCUUCCAACCCCCACUUCUCCCGCCCCAGUGCCUUCCCGGUUUUACUCUGGCUUCCCCCAGUGGCAUUCUAAAAGAAGGGCAGGGGACACAGCGGCCAGGAGCGUGGAGUAUUGGUGCGUAGACCAACCCUCGUCCUCUUGGCUGCGCACUUUUUAAGGCUUUCCACGUAGUUGAAACAGUGACAACAAAGGAGGGGCCGCUUCCCUGCUAGGUAAUUUCCGGCCCUGUGGGCAGGUAGGGGCGGAAACGCCCGCCGCAGGGAGCCGGGCUGGAGGCACCUGCUGAGCCACGCGCGGGCAUCCCGCUUUAAAUUUGAAUCCGAACUAGUCCCCGCCCCCAACUUUGCGAAUGCUGCUAGAGACCUGGCCCGGGCUAACGCGAGGGGGAGUGUCCUGUGUUUUAAUUAGCCCCACAUCUCUUCUGCUCUAUUUGUUUCUAACACCCGACCAGCGUCCUCGGGAGCUGGGAGUUUUAUUAAGUCGCCAAUUCCCGCUCCUACAUUUUCUUGAGGCUUUCACGCGCCUCGAUCGCCGCUCACCAGAUCGAAACAAAUAGCCGAACCCUGGUUUACGGAUGGGCAUACUUCCUUUCACUUAGGAACAACUUUUAAAACCUAGCAGUAAACUGGAAACUCAUGACCUAGUAAAUUGAAAAAUGUCUAAGUCAGCGGUAGCUACAUCAUGAAUUUUACUUUGUUCUUUCUCAGAGUCAAUAUAAGUACGCAUUUUCUGUUGUAAAUAUCUUUCUUUGUAACUAGUCAUUAUGUUCUGAUAUUUCUUUAUCGUUAAUGGUAGAUUUUCCUGGGCAAAACUCAGGUCUAAUUAUUUGAAGAAUUUUUAAUAAAGCCUUAUGAUUUUUUCACUUUUUUUUAAGAGAAGUGAACUGUAAUUCAUGGUCACCAAAGAAAAGUUUAAAAAAAACCAAACAAUUCUUGAUAGUCUGUCUUAAGAAAAAUGACUGUAAAGUUUAAAUUGGAAAGAAUUACCACUUCUACAUAGGAAAAAAAAAAUCGUAUCUAGAAGAUAGCAGUUAUUUUAACGGCUAAAUUUUUAAUCAUGGGUCUUAGUCUAUUCUUUGAAUUCCUUACACUGUGCAAAUACGUUAAAGUUAUUGUCAGUGACAGCCAGUGAAUUUGGGGUGGUAUUGACUUGUUCAUGGUAAUUAAGCCCCAGGGUGUAUGCAUGACUGUUUAAACCAAAUAAUUGGGCUACCCUAUAAUCUAAUUAUUUCAGCCUACACCAACCAGCACUCAGUGAAGGAAAUGCAAAAUUUAAUCAUGUUACAAUUAAUCUGUAAAUUCGCCUGAGUUAUAUUUACCAUCAUUACUGGAGGAAGUCUCAGAAUUAUCAACCUAUUUAAAACAAGUACAUGCACCUGCUCUGAGGGUAACAAAUUUGAAAUCAUCUCCACUAAGAACCAAAGUAUGCUUAUUAAAUUUUUCUGUUUAAUUUUUGUUUUGCUCUUUGUUUCAAAAAGUAAAUUAAUAUCACUUAGAAAAAGUAAUUGAGGACAAUGCAUAUGCUAUUCAUUAUUAUUUCAUUUCCAUAAAAGGAAAUUUUAAGGAAAUGAAUUUUUAUGUAAGGAAGAUAGCUCUGUGAGAAAAAAAUAGUUUAAAAUAGUCUGUAUCAAUGAUUCAUUUUCUUCUUAAUGAUAAUAUUUAUGUUUCGAAAUGUAGGCCCAGGGCCUAGCACAAUACCUGGCCGUAGUAGGUACCCAUAAAUAUUUGUUGAAUAAAAAUAAUGAAUAAUACAGUUACAUAUGUUAGGAUUAUUUUAAAGUUUUAUAAAGUCAUUUAUUCAGCAAACAUUUAUGAACAUCUACAUUCUGCCAUAAACUUUACUAGGUGCUAAGGAUAUGAAAAUGUGUAAGAUACUGCUUUGACCUCCGCAAACUUAGUGUGUCCUCACAGCUCUGGGGAGGUGGGAACGCUGUUUAUCCCAAUUACCCAGGAUGGGGAAAUUGAGACAUCAAGAUGUUACAUAAUUUGCUUGUUUUAGUCAGGGUUCUCUGGAGAAACAACACCAACAGGAAAUUUAUAUAUAUAACUUCAUUAUGUAUAUGAAAGAGAUUUCUUGUAAAGAGAAAUACAUUUCUAUUCAUACAUUAUGAAGGCUGAGAAGUUCCCACUUUGGCAGUCUGAAGGCCUAAGAACCAGAAGAGCCAAUGGUGUAAGUUCCAGGCCAAGGCCAAAGGCUUGAUUCAACUUUAUGUUUGUCCCACUGUUAUCCUUUCUUAACAUCCACUCCUAUACUCAUUACCUCGAUUACUGUCUGUAUAAGUUAGAAGACUCAAGGAGUUCUUUUGGAGUGCUGUGCAUCUCCUCACAAAUCAGAGAAUACCCAGUUCAUGAUGGGCAGCUCAGGUCUCAUGGUAAUUUGGUGGCUCAUGAUUAAGCAUUCAACCUCUGCCGAAAUCCAGUAGCAGGCUAAGAACUAUUUCUCAAAUGGAGUGUAGUUAUCUAUAGAGGAUGGCAGGGCUUUGUUCUAAAAUCCUAAUGAGCUUUGAUUCACUUGUUGGAAACUGGCAGCAUCCCUGUCAGCCAUGGACACCUCAGGGACCUUUGCAUCUGUUGGAUCAUAUGGCCCAAUGGCAAAGCAGCUUGCGCAGCAGUCUGCAGUUGUUGCAGAACCUUCUCUUAUUCUGGAUCUCAUUCCAAAGUAACAACUUUUGAGUCAUUUGAAGGAUAUGUUGCCUCCAAAAUCCAAAAAAGCCUACUAGGCAUUGUGCCCCUUUUUAGUUGUAGGAGGAGCCAGAUGCAACAACUUAACCUUCACCUUAGAAGGGAUAUCUUGACCUGCCCCACACCUGGACCUCUAGAAAUUUCACUGAGGUAGAAGGCCCUUGAAUUUAUGUCAGGUUUAUUUCCCACCCUCUGAUGCACAACUGUCCUACCAGUAAGUCUGAAGCAGUUGCUACUUCUUGCUCACUAGGUCCAAUCAGCAUGAUGCCGUCAAUUUAAUGGACUAGUGUGAUAGCUUUGAAAGGGAAAGGAGAUCAAGAUCCCUGAGAACUAAAUUAUGACACAAGGCUGGAGAGUUGACAUACCCAUAAGGUAGGACAGUGAAGGUGUAUUUGUUGAAAGCAAGCUGCUUCUUGUGGGCCUUAUUGACAGAGAUGGAGAAAAAGGCAUUUGCCAGAUUAAUAGGUACAUACCAGUUUCCAGGGGGUGUGCUAAUUUCCUCAACCAUUGAAACCACAUCUGGUACAGCAGCUGCAAGUGGAGUCACUACCCACUUAAGCUGACAGUAAUCCAUUGUCAUUCUCCAAGAUCCAUCUGUCUUCUGGAUAGGCCAAAUGGGAGAAUUAAAUGGGAAUGCGGUGGGAAUAACCACUCCUACAUCUUUCGUAUACUUGAUGGUGGCACAAAUCUCUGCAAUUCCUCCAGUAAUGAAGUGUUCCUUUUGGCUUAUUAUUUUCUUAGACAGAGGCAAAUCUAGUGGCUUCCGCUUGCCUUUUCCCACGAUAAUAACCCUCACUCCACAGGUAAAGGAACUAAUGUGUAGAUUAUGUCAGCAGCUUCCAUUUUCCAGGGUGGAGGAAAUUGAGGUAUAGAGGUGAUAAGUAACUUGCCCAAUGUCAUACCACCAGCUGAGAUUUAAACACAGGUCAGGGACUGCACUCUUAACCAUAACACUAUGCUGCUUACUUUGGAUCAGGCAAAAUCCUGGAGGUGCAUAUAGUUCAUGUGGGAAGAGAGCAUAUUAACACAUGAUGUCCCUAUCUGUAAUCUCAAUAUAAUAAAAAUAUACAUAUGGAUGCACACUUAUGUUCACACAAAAAUUACACAAAUAGCAACUCUACUAUAAUUGCCAAAAACUAGAAACAGUCCAAAGGUCAUUCAACAAGUGAAUGGGUAAACAAACUGGGGUACAUUCAUAACUGGAAAUAUUCAGCAGUAAAGAAGAAUGAAUUAUUGACACACGCAGCAACUUCAAUGAAUCUCAAAGGUAUUAUAAUUAGUGAAAGCAGGAAAUCUCAAAAGGAAUCAUACUCUGUGAUUCCAUUCUAUGACAUUCCUGAAAUAACAAAACUAUAGUGAUGGAAAACAGAUCAAUAACUGCCAGGAGGUAAUGGUGAGAGAAGGUGCAACUAUAAGAGAUAGGUGUAUAGGAGGGUUUUUUGGGCAAUAGAGUUGUUCUGUAUCAUGAUUCUACUGGUGGUAACACAAACCUCUACAUAUGGUUUUAUGCAUUAUAAUCACACAUUACACACACACAGGUGUAGGAAUGAUACAAGGAUAUGAUGAGCCUACCUAGAAGUUAAUAUUGUGAAUGUUUCUUGGUUAACAGUUAUAAUGUAUGGAUGUGAAUAUAUCAAUCUAUUUUGCAGCAGGGCAACACAUAAGCCUUCACAGCUAAGUGUGGCCAUGUGACUAAAUUUUGGCUUUUGCUUUUAAGGAGUUUUGGGGUGGACUUUCUAGGAGAACACUUAAAAGAAGCAGUUCUUCUGUUCUUCCUCCCCUUUUUUUUUUCCUUCCUACUGCCUGGAAUGCAGAAGUGAAGACCAAAAUUCCUGCAGCUUUCUUGGGCCAUGGAGUACUGUUGUUCUCAAGAGACCAGACCAUGUUAGGAGCAACAAGCCAAUCAGAUCUUUUCCACAGCUGAUGGGAAGACAGGGAUUGGGACUGGGCCUGGCACAGACUUCAUUGAACUGAACUUAACUCUUGGCUCUGCUACAUAGUUUUGUUCCAGACUGAAGAAUCAGACUCUGGGAAAUGGAUUUUAAUGAUUGUAGUUAUCUUGAGUGAAUAAAUGGAAAAUUAUCAUUUUUAAUAAAUAUCUGUAAUAUUUUAGCUGUUCUUAAAGAUUAUCAUCUAAUAGAGCAAAUUAAUUUCUUUAGUGAACUUGGAGUGUAAUUCAUAAGUAAUUCAUCUUAUAGCAGGGCUUUCAAGCCAUGUUUCAUUAAGCCCUCAGCCCUGGCCUUAAGGUAGGAUAAAGACCAAUCCUGAUACCUCCUCUUAACUGGAAUGGCUCUGCUUUACCUAUUUUGGAAUUCAAGAUAAAAUUUCAUUUGAAAAUAUGGUAUCACUGUUUUAGAAAAAUUAUAUGUAAUAGGCAUGUAUACAUUAAAUUUAUUGUCCUUGAAUAU
This 5132-nucleotide long non-coding RNA is filed under the name Sus scrofa (pig). RNAcentral's name for it is "lncRNA (ENSSSCG00000051991.1)". The record is from RNAcentral. Lineage: Eukaryota; Metazoa; Chordata; Mammalia; Artiodactyla; Suidae.